CAGCAGCCGCGGGAAUACAGAGGAUGCAAGCGUUAUCCGAAAUGAUUGGGCGUAAAGCGUGCGCAGGCGGUCCGCUAAGACAGAUGUGAAAUCCCCGGGCUUAACCUGGGAACUGCAUUUGUGACUGGCGGGCUAGAGUAUGGCAGAGGGGGGUAGAAUUCCACGUGUAGCAGUGAAAUGCGUAGAGAUGUGGAGGAAUACCGAUGGCGAAGGCAGCCCCCUGGGCCAAUACUGACGCUCAUGCACGAAAGCGUGGGGAGCAAACAGGAUUAGAUACCCCGGUAGUCCCUGUCUCUUAUAC
This 301-nucleotide ribosomal RNA is filed under the name uncultured bacterium. Its description in RNAcentral is "partial 16S ribosomal RNA". It matches the Rfam family "Bacterial small subunit ribosomal RNA", at positions 509 to 807 of the family's 1533-position model. The record is from RNAcentral.